Long non-coding RNA from Peromyscus californicus insignis, 777 nucleotides. RefSeq lists it as uncharacterized. The record is from RefSeq and is a predicted model, not a curated record. The transcript has 2 exons. Lineage: Eukaryota; Metazoa; Chordata; Mammalia; Rodentia; Cricetidae.
CCACGUGAGAGGGAGAGGGCGGGGCAAGGGAGAGCCCCAGGCCCGGGGACAUUAGGUCCAGUCUGCACCCCUCAAUCCAGCUCCAGUGAACCUGGGCCUCCAAGGCAUUCCCAGCAGAAUCUGGUGUGUCUACAGACAACCUGGGGCCUUUACUUGGGAAUGAGCUGGCAGGUGAUGACCCAAAAGAAAUCACACAGCGGCUGCAGACAACGUGACUGGUGACAGGAUCUUCAGGACCUCCAUCCCCACUUGCCACACCACAGAAUCAGAGAUGACCUACCAUCUAAGACCCACCCAUGAUAGAACCAGAACCAAUAAAGAAGUGGGGUGAGAAAUGUUCUUGGGAGGGAAAGACAAGAAUGUACAGCUACUGAAGAGGAACCGAAGACCCAGUCCUCAGAUUCCUAACAUAAAAAUAUUGGGAACCAAAUAACAGCUAAAAAAAAUUUCCCUAGCCAGACAUGGAGGUAUUCACCAGCAGUCUCAGCAUUUUGGAGAUGGAACCUGGAGGACCAAGAGUUAAAAGUCAUCCCUGGAUACAUCAUGAGUUCCAGGAUAGCCUAGGCUACAUGAGACUCUGUUUCAAAUAAUAAAUAAGUGUCCCCAUACCAGAAGCCUUAUCAAUCCUGUUCCCAGCACCAAUUCCUUGCCAUGCAUCAAAAGCAUGAUCAGAAAGAGCCAGCAAGAUGGUUCAGUGGGUAAAGUUAGAUCCCUGGUACAUACACAUGUGUGUGCACACACAUAAACACAAUGAAAAUAAAGAAAUUUAAAUAUGUA